This is a non-coding RNA of Paramisgurnus dabryanus, 786 nucleotides long. The record is from RefSeq and is a predicted model, not a curated record. Lineage: Eukaryota; Metazoa; Chordata; Actinopteri; Cypriniformes; Cobitidae.
UGCUAAUUGUAAAGAAGCUUGGAGUCAUAAUAUAUUUAAACGUUAUAUGUUUGCUGUUCUUCAUCUUUUUAAAUAUGAAGUCUAUACAUGUUUGUGUUUACAGAGGUCAUGUACACUGUGGUCAACUUUGUGGACGAUGAAGAGGUUUCUGGGUAAAGCUGAUAGAAAUAUAAUGAAGUAACAGUGAAAGCUAAAACAUCAGACUGAUCCAGACACUGAAGAAAUUGAUGUCACUGCAAUCUGGCCAAAAUGAUACAACUAUAUUGAAGUAACCUACUGUAAUGAAGCUGCAGAACAACAAAGAGACUCUGAGGACAUCAACACAGAAAAUUAAGGCUCCAAAGAGAUGUCUGUCCAGAUGAGGGUGCAUCAACGUUACCUUUGCUGACAAGUAUAUGCUUUACAAUGUAAAACCUAACAGUUAACUUAACUCAAACCAUUUAAGGAAAUCGGUUGCCUUAACCCAUUAAGUUUAAAAAAAAAAACAUACAUUUGAGUACUGUGAACUUAAGUCUUGUGCAAUAAUGCACUUAUAUUUAGUUAGUGUGAACUUAAAUAUAAGUGCAUAACUGCAUGUGACUCAAUUUGUUUAAGUUCACAGUACUCAAAUCUAUGUGUUUUAAAACUUAAAUGGUUUAAUGCAACCGGUUUUCUUAAAUGGUUUGAGUUUAGUUAACUUUUAGGUUUUACAGUGAGAAAUUCUUGAAUAAUUCCAAGACAGAGCUCUGCAAUUGUAUCUACACUGCAAAAAAAUCAGUUUCUAACUUAGGAUUUUUAUCUUGUUUU